CUGCCAUGAUGGGAAUUUUAUUUUUCGUCAACAGCAUCUCACUGUGUGAAUGGUGACACUUGUUUGCUGAGCAG
Molecule: small nucleolar RNA, 74 nt
Organism: Bubo bubo (Eurasian eagle-owl)
Lineage: Eukaryota; Metazoa; Chordata; Aves; Strigiformes; Strigidae
Source: Ensembl